RNAcentral lists this ribosomal RNA (253 nucleotides) under uncultured prokaryote. RNAcentral's name for it is "partial 16S ribosomal RNA". It matches the Rfam family "Bacterial small subunit ribosomal RNA", at positions 355 to 600 of the family's 1533-position model. The record is from RNAcentral.
UCGAGAAUAAUUCGCAAUGGACGAAAGUCUGACGAUGCGACGCCGCAUGAACGAUGAAGGCCUUCGGGUUGUAACGUUCUGUUGCCCUAGAACAAGAGUGACUGACGAAUAGGUGGUCACGAUGAGGGUAUAGGGAGAGGAAGCACCGGCUAAUUCCGUGCCAGCAGCUGCGGUAAUACGGAAGGUGCAAGCGUUAGUCGGAAUUACUGGGCGUACAGGGUGCGUAGGCGGGAAUGUAAGUCGGUUUGGAAAU